Molecule: ribosomal RNA, 253 nt
Filed under: uncultured bacterium
Lineage: Bacteria
Description: partial 16S ribosomal RNA
Rfam family: Bacterial small subunit ribosomal RNA
Source: RNAcentral
UACGUAGGGGGCAAGCGUUGUCCGGAAUCAUUGGGCGUAAAGCGCGUGUAGGCGGUUCGGUAAGUCUGCUGUGAAAGUCCAGGGCUCAACCCUGGGAUGCCGGUGGAUACUGUCGGACUAGAGUACGGAAGAGGCGAGUGGAAUUCCCGGUGUAGCGGUGAAAUGCGCAGAUAUCAGGAGGAACACCGGUGGCGAAGGCGGAUCUCUGGGCCUGUUCUGACGCUGAGGCGCGAAAGCUAGGGGAGCGAACAGG